This 1477-nucleotide ribosomal RNA is filed under the name human gut metagenome. RNAcentral's name for it is "bacterial SSU rRNA". It matches the Rfam family "Bacterial small subunit ribosomal RNA". The record is from RNAcentral.
CUACAGGCUUAACACAUGCAAGUCGAGGGGCAGCAUUUUAGUUUGCUUGCAAACUAAAGAUGGCGACCGGCGCACGGGUGAGUAACACGUAUCCAACCUGCCGAUAACUCGGGGAUAGCCUUUCGAAAGAAAGAUUAAUAUCCGAUAGUAUAUUAAAACCGCAUGGUUUUACUAUUAAAGAAUUUCGGUUAUCGAUGGGGAUGCGUUCCAUUAGUUUGUUGGCGGGGUAACGGCCCACCAAGACUACGAUGGAUAGGGGUUCUGAGAGGAAGGUCCCCCACAUUGGAACUGAGACACGGUCCAAACUCCUACGGGAGGCAGCAGUGAGGAAUAUUGGUCAAUGGACGAGAGUCUGAACCAGCCAAGUAGCGUGAAGGAUGACUGCCCUAUGGGUUGUAAACUUCUUUUAUAUGGGAAUAAAGUAUUCCACGUGUGGGAUUUUGUAUGUACCAUAUGAAUAAGGAUCGGCUAACUCCGUGCCAGCAGCCGCGGUAAUACGGAGGAUCCGAGCGUUAUCCGGAUUUAUUGGGUUUAAAGGGAGCGUAGGUGGAUUGUUAAGUCAGUUGUGAAAGUUUGCGGCUCAACCGUAAAAUUGCAGUUGAAACUGGCAGUCUUGAGUACAGUAGAGGUGGGCGGAAUUCGUGGUGUAGCGGUGAAAUGCUUAGAUAUCACGAAGAACUCCGAUUGCGAAGGCAGCUCACUAGACUGCAACUGACACUGAUGCUCGAAAGUGUGGGUAUCAAACAGGAUUAGAUACCCUGGUAGUCCACACAGUAAACGAUGAAUACUCGCUGUUUGCGAUAUACAGUAAGCGGCCAAGCGAAAGCAUUAAGUAUUCCACCUGGGGAGUACGCCGGCAACGGUGAAACUCAAAGGAAUUGACGGGGGCCCGCACAAGCGGAGGAACAUGUGGUUUAAUUCGAUGAUACGCGAGGAACCUUACCCGGGCUUAAAUUGCAUUUGAAUAAUCUGGAAACAGGUUAGCCGCAAGGCAAAUGUGAAGGUGCUGCAUGGUUGUCGUCAGCUCGUGCCGUGAGGUGUCGGCUUAAGUGCCAUAACGAGCGCAACCCUUAUCUUUAGUUACUAACAGGUCAUGCUGAGGACUCUAGAGAGACUGCCGUCGUAAGAUGUGAGGAAGGUGGGGAUGACGUCAAAUCAGCACGGCCCUUACGUCCGGGGCUACACACGUGUUACAAUGGGGGGUACAGAAGGCAGCUACCUGGCGACAGGAUGCUAAUCCCAAAAACCUCUCUCAGUUCGGAUCGAAGUCUGCAACCCGACUUCGUGAAGCUGGAUUCGCUAGUAAUCGCGCAUCAGCCAUGGCGCGGUGAAUACGUUCCCGGGCCUUGUACACACCGCCCGUCAAGCCAUGAAAGCCGGGGGUACCUGAAGUACGUAACCGCAAGGAGCGUCCUAGGGUAAAACUGGUAAUUGGGGCUAAGUCGUAACAAGGUAGCCGUACCGGAAGGUGCGGCUG